CGUAGGGUGCAAGCGUUAAUCGGAAUUACUGGGCGUAAAGCGUGCGCAGGCGGUUUUAUAAGUCUGAUGUGAAAUCCCCGGGCUCAACCUGGGAACUGCAUUGGAGACUGUAAGGCUAGAGUGUGUCAGAGGGGGGUAGAAUUCCACGUGUAGCAGUGAAAUGCGUAGAUAUGUGGAGGAAUACCGAUGGCGAAGGCAGCCCCCUGGGAUAACACUGACGCUCAUGCACGUAAGCGUGGGGAGCAAACAGGAUUAGAUACCCUGGUAGUCCACGCCCUAAACGAUGUCUACUAGUUGUCGGGUCUUAAUUGACUUGGUAACGCAGCUAACGCGUGAAGUAGACCGCCUGGGGAGUACGGUCGCAAGAUUA
Molecule: ribosomal RNA, 370 nt
Filed under: uncultured organism
Description: bacterial SSU rRNA
Rfam family: Bacterial small subunit ribosomal RNA
Source: RNAcentral